Molecule: ribosomal RNA, 482 nt
Filed under: uncultured bacterium
Lineage: Bacteria
Description: partial 16S ribosomal RNA
Rfam family: Bacterial small subunit ribosomal RNA
Source: RNAcentral
AUUGAACGCUGGCGGCAUGCUUUACACAUGCAAGUCGAACGGUAACAGGCCGCAAGGUGCUGACGAGUGGCGAACGGGUGAGUAAUGCAUCGGAACGUGCUCAGUCGUGGGGGGUAACUACUCGAAAGAGUAGCUAAUACCGCAUACGAUCUAUGGAUGAAAGCGGGGGACCGUAAGGCCUCGCGCGAUUGGAGCGGCCGAUGUCAGAUUAGGUAGUUGGUGGGGUAAAGGCUCACCAAGCCAACGAUCUGUAGCUGGUCUGAGAGGACGACCAGCCACACUGGGACUGAGACACGGCCCAGACUCCUACGGGAGGCAGCAGUGGGGAAUUUUGGACAAUGGGCGCAAGCCUGAUCCAGCAAUGCCGCGUGCAGGAAGAAGGCCUUCGGGUUGUAAACUGCUUUUGUACGGAACGAAACGGCUCUGGUUAAUACCCGGGGCUAAUGACGGUACCGUAAGAAUAAGCACCGGCUAACUACGUG